RNAcentral lists this ribosomal RNA (502 nucleotides) under uncultured bacterium. Its description in RNAcentral is "partial 16S ribosomal RNA". It matches the Rfam family "Bacterial small subunit ribosomal RNA", at positions 28 to 507 of the family's 1533-position model. The record is from RNAcentral.
GACGAACGCUGGCGGCGUGCCUAAUACAUGCAAGUCGAACGAACCGCGACUAAGUGCUUGCACUAAGUCAAGGUGAGUGGCGAACGGGUGAGUAACACGUGGGUAACCUACCUCAUAGUGGGGGAUAACAGUCGGAAACGACUGCUAAUACCGCAUAGGACAUAGGAUCACAUGAUCCAGUGAGGAAAGGUGGCGCAAGCUAUCGCUAAGAGAUGGACCCGCGGUGCAUUAGCUAGUUGGUAGGGUAAAGGCCUACCAAGGCGAUGAUGCAUAGCCGACCUGAGAGGGUGAUCGGCCACAUUGGGGCUGAGACACGGCCCAAACUCCUACGGGAGGCAGCAGUAGGGAAUCUUCCGCAAUGGACGCAAGUCUGACGGAGCAACGCCGCGUGAGUGAAGAAGGUCUUCGGAUCGUAAAGCUCUGUUGUUAGAGAAGAACAGCGCAUAGAGUAACUGCUAUGCGUGUGACGGUAUCUAACCAGAAAGCCACGGCUAACUACGUG